Molecule: ribosomal RNA, 253 nt
Filed under: uncultured bacterium
Lineage: Bacteria
Description: partial 16S ribosomal RNA
Rfam family: Bacterial small subunit ribosomal RNA
Source: RNAcentral
UACGGAGGGGGCUAGCGUUGUUCGGAAUUACUGGGCGUAAAGCGCACGUAGGCGGCUUUGUAAGUUAGAGGUGAAAGCCCGGGGCUCAACUCCGGAAUUGCCUUUAAGACUGCAUCGCUAGAAUUGUGGAGAGGUAAGUGGAAUUCCGAGUGUAGAGGUGAAAUUCGUAGAUAUUCGGAAGAACACCAGUGGCGAAGGAGACUUACUGGACACAUAUUGACGCUGAGGUGCGAAAGCGUGGGGAGCAAACAGG